RNAcentral lists this ribosomal RNA (403 nucleotides) under bacterium. RNAcentral describes it as "partial 16S ribosomal RNA". It matches the Rfam family "Bacterial small subunit ribosomal RNA", at positions 355 to 776 of the family's 1533-position model. The record is from RNAcentral.
UGGGGAAUAUUGCACAAUGGGGGAAACCCUGAUGCAGCGACGCCGCGUGAACGAAGAAGGUAUUCGUAUCGUAAAGUUCUGUCCUAUGGGAAGAUAAUGACAGUACCAUAGAAGAAAGCUCCGGCUAAAUACGUGCCAGCAGCCGCGGUAAUACGUAUGGAGCGAGCGUUGUCCGGAAUUAUUGGGCGUAAAGGGUACGCAGGCGGUUUAAUAAGUCGAAUGUUAAAGAUCGGGGCUCAACCCCGCAAAGCAUUGGAAACUGCUAAACUUGAGUAGUGGAGAGGAAAGUGGAAUUCCUAGUGUAGUGGUGAAAUACGUAGAUAUUAGGAGGAAUACCAGUAGCGAAGGCGACUUUCUGGACACAAACUGACGCUGAGGUACGAAAGCGUGGGGAGCAAACAGG